AUUGAACGCUGGCGGCAGGCCUAACACAUGCAAGUCGAGCGGCAGCGACUUAACUGAACCUUCGGGGAACGUUAAGGGCGGCGAGCGGCGGACGGGUGAGUAAUGCCCGGGAAUAUGCCCUGAUGUGGGGGAUAACUAUUGGAAACGAUAGCUAAUACCGCAUAAUCUCUUCGGAGCAAAGAGGGGGACCUUCGGGCCUCUCGCGUCAGGAUUAGCCCAGGUGGGAUUAGCUUGUUGGUGAGGUAAUGGCUCACCAAGGCAACGAUCCCUAGCUGGUCUGAGAGGAUGAUCAGCCACACUGGAACUGAGACACGGUCCAGACUCCUACGGGAGGCAGCAGUGGGGAAUAUUGCACAAUGGGGGAAACCCUGAUGCAGCCAUGCCGCGUGUGUGAAGAAGGCCUUCGGGUUGUAAAGCACUUUCAGUAGGGAGGAAGGUAGUGUAGUUAACACCUGCAUUAUUUGACGUUACCUACAGAAGAAGCACCGGCUAACUCCGUGCCAGCAGCCGCGGUAAUACGGAGGGUGCGAGCGUUAAUCGGAAUUACUGGGCGUAAAGCGCAUGCAGGCGGCCUGUUAAGUCAGAUGUGAAAGCCCGGGGCUUAACCUCGGAAUUGCAUUUGAAACUGGCAGGCUAGAGUCUUGUAGAGGGGGGUAGAAUUUCAGGUGUAGCGGUGAAAUGCGUAGAGAUCUGAAGGAAUACCAGUGGCGAAAGCGGCCCCCUGGACAAAGACUGACGCUCAGAUGCGAAAGCGUGGGGAGCAAACAGG
RNAcentral lists this ribosomal RNA (769 nucleotides) under uncultured bacterium. Its description in RNAcentral is "bacterial SSU rRNA". It matches the Rfam family "Bacterial small subunit ribosomal RNA", at positions 28 to 776 of the family's 1533-position model. The record is from RNAcentral.